GAGUUUGAUCCUGGCUCAGGACGAACGCUGGCGGCGCUGCUUAACACAUGCAAGUCGAGCGGUAAGGCCCUUUCGGGGGUACACGAGCGGCGAACGGGUGAGUAACACGUGGGUAACCUGCCCUCAGCUCUGGGAUAAGCCCGGGAAACUGGGUCUAAUACCGGAUAUGACUCCGCAUCGCAUGGUGUGGGGUGGAAAGCCUUGUGCGGCUGAGGAUGGGCCCGCGGCCUAUCAGCUUGUUGGUGGGGUAGUGGCCUACCAAGGCGACGACGGGUAGCCGGCCUGAGAGGGCGACCGGCCACACUGGGACUGAGACACGGCCCAGACUCCUACGGGAGGCAGCAGUGGGGAAUAUUGCGCAAUGGGCGAAAGCCUGACGCAGCGACGCCGCGUGAGGGAUGACGGCCUUCGGGUUGUAAACCUCUUUCAGCUCCGACGAAGCCUUCGGGUGACGGUAGGGGCAGAAGAAGCACCGGCCAACUACGUGCCAGCAGCCGCGGUAAUACGUAGGGUGCAAGCGUUGUCCGGAAUUAUUGGGCGUAAAGAGCUCGGA
This 553-nucleotide ribosomal RNA is filed under the name uncultured bacterium. RNAcentral's name for it is "bacterial SSU rRNA". It matches the Rfam family "Bacterial small subunit ribosomal RNA", at positions 9 to 573 of the family's 1533-position model. The record is from RNAcentral.